Non-coding RNA from Podarcis lilfordi (Lilford's wall lizard), 77 nucleotides. The record is from the annotation of a GenBank genome assembly. NCBI's taxonomy places the organism in Eukaryota, Metazoa, Chordata, Lepidosauria, Squamata, Lacertidae.
UGAAGGGCCGUAGCUCAGUGGCAGAGCACCUGCCUUGCAUGCAUAAGGCUCCAGGUUCAGUCCCUGCCCUCUCCCAG